GAAAAAAUAAAUGAAAUUCAGAUUAAGAGUUAUCAAUGGUUUGGCAUUAUUAUUAUUAGUAAUAUGAGAGUGUGUAAGUCAAUAUAAAUAUAUCAAUUAAAUUCAAUAAAAUAAUGUAAUCCAAAUAGAUCAUGGAUAUAUAGAUAUCCAAAAAUCUCCCCUGUUUUACAUAGAUAUGAUGUAUAGAAUGCUCAGAUUUGCUGUAUAUAUGAGCCUGCAAUGUGUCUAAAGCUGGAAUAGCCAGUCUAAGAGAGAACUCAGGUUUAAUUCUUGCAGAAAACAUUGCUGGGAGGGGAUCUUCUGUGGACAACGGACAUAGAGAAUAACUUAAUGUACUAAAAAAAAUUAAACAAAAAAAAAAGCAAAAAAAUACUUCUUUGUGGCAGCGGCGGCGUAGGAGUCAGCGUGUCUGCCUCCUCCGCCCAGAAAUCACAGAGAAUAGAAAGCUAAGUAGUUUAGCUACGAACAAGCAUAAGAGACACAAAGAAGAUACAGCCAUCAACAAUGCAAAACAAAGGACAAUCUUUGAGGUUACUUCAUCCAAGAUUCUGGUAAACAGUUUGUUAUUCAUGGAUGAAGUGGUGUAACGAAAAGAUUGAUCAAAGAGGAGAAGUGAAA
RNAcentral lists this unclassified non-coding RNA (618 nucleotides) under Hevea brasiliensis (rubber tree). The record is from RNAcentral. Lineage: Eukaryota; Viridiplantae; Streptophyta; Magnoliopsida; Malpighiales; Euphorbiaceae.